CCUACGGGAGGCAGCAGUAGGGAAUCUUCCACAAUGGGCGAAAGCCUGAUGGAGCAACGCCGCGUGGGUGAAGAAGGUCUUCGGAUCGUAAAACCCUGUUGUUAGAGAAGAAAGUGCGUGAGAGUAACUGUUCACGUUUCGACGGUAUCUAACCAGAAAGCCACGGCUAACUACGUGCCAGCAGCCGCGGUAAUACGUAGGUGGCAAGCGUUAUCCGGAUUUAUUGGGCGUAAAGGGAACGCAGGCGGUCUUUUAAGUCUGAUGGGAAAGCCUUCGGCUUAACCGGAGUAGUGCAUUGGAAUCGGGGAGACGGGAGAGCAGAAGAGGAGAGUGGAACUCAAUGUGAAGCGGUGAAAGGAGGAGAUAUAUGGAAGAACACCAGGGGCGAAAGCGGCUCUCUGGUCUGUAACUGACGCUGAGGUUCGAAAGCGUGGGUAGCAAACAGGAUUAGAUACCCUAGUAGUG
Molecule: ribosomal RNA, 465 nt
Filed under: uncultured bacterium
Lineage: Bacteria
Description: partial 16S ribosomal RNA
Rfam family: Bacterial small subunit ribosomal RNA
Source: RNAcentral